ACGGGGUGGUGGCCGGGCAGAGGGGCUCCUCACUUCCCAGAAGGGGCGGCCGGGCAGAGGCGCCCCCCGCCUCCCGGACGGGGCGGCGGCCGGGCGGAGGCGCCCCCAACCUGCCUCCCGGACAGGGCAGCUGGCCGGGCGGGGGCUGACCCCCCACCUCCCUCCCGGACCGAGAUGGCAGCAAUACAGUCCAGCUUCGGCUCGGCAUCAGUAGAGAUGAGGUUGUGCCAUGUUGCCCAGGCUGGUCUUGAACUCCUGGGCUCAAGUGAUCUGCCCGCCUCUGCCUCCCAAAGCACUGGGAUUACAGGCAUGAGCCACUGCGCCCAGCCGGUCCCAUCGUUUUCUUAUCUUUAUUCCUGAUGAGGAUUUGAAGUUGCGUGGUCAUAUUUUCUCCUCUGCUUUCCCCUGGGGGCUGGAGAGGAGGUGGGGAAGCUCAACCUUGAGACAUCAACUCCGGCACAUCUCGUACUUAGUAACUGGCACCGACUCAAUAUCCACAGCCCCCUGGGCAUGCGGGGAGUGUUGAUGCAACCACACCAUGGAGGCCAGAAAAAGAAAUCCUCAAGCAACACUUUGGCCUGAUGGACUCAGGGGACCUGCCUGAGUCUGCAGUUGGAAUCACCCCUUUCCCUUUCUUCUGGCCUGACCUCGGGGAGCCACUGUGUCGGCAGCUGCUGUCUGUGCAGAUGCUGCAGCUUCCUGUCCCUCUGCUCCUCCAGCCUUUCCUUCCGUCUCUGCACUGUUGCUUUGGUUAUGACUUGGGUAAAAUCAGAGGCUCGAACUUGUUCUCAUCUAGUCCGGCUCCAAGUACUCAUCGAAUCCAGCAGCAUAUCCUGAUGGUUCUCCCUUCCAAAAUAGUUCUAUGUAUAUAGAAGUAUUCACAGAUUUAUAUUUAUAUAAAAAUAAAUGUAUAUAUUUACACUAUGGGAUGUAGAGCUAUCUGAAUAUAACAUGUAUGUACAAUUUAUGAAAUAAUAAAUGCACACCAAGUAGUCACCACCCAGCUUAAUAGGGGAUGACCAGUAUCGUGGAAAUCCCUCCCUAAAUUCAGCCUCUUUAUUUGUCCUAUGAGAAACCAGUGCUAUAUCUAUAGCUCUAUAUACCACUAUGUAAGUAUAUACAUUUAUUUAUUUAUUUUUUGAGAUAGUUUCACUCUUGUUGCCCAAUGUGGAGUGCAGUGGCAUGAUCUCGGCUCACUGGAUUACAGGCAUGUGCCACUGCACCCGGCCAUAAUUUUUUUUUUUUUUUUGAGAUGGAGUCUUGCUCUUAUUGCUCAGGCUGGAGUGCAAUGGCACGAUCUCAGCUCACUGCAACCUCCGCCUCCCAGGUUCAAGUGAUUCUCUUGCCUCAGCUUCCCAAGUAGCUGGGAUUACAGGCACCCGCCACCACGCCUGGCUAAUUUUUGUAUUUUUAGUAGAGACGGGGUUUUGCCAUGUUGGCCAGGCUGGUCUCGAGCUCCUGACCUCGUGAUCCGCCCGCCUCGGCCUCCCAACAUGCUGGGAUUACAGACAUGAGCCACAGUGCCUGGCCCAUAAAUUUAUUUUAUUUUUUUAUUUUAUUAUUAUUAUUUUUGAGAUGGAGUCUCACUCUGUCACUGAGGCUGGAGUGCUGUGGCGUGAUCUUGGCUCACUGCAACCUCUGCCCUCCGAGUUCAAGCGAUUCUCCUGCCUCAGCCUACCGAGUAGCUGGGAUUAUAGGUGCCUGCCACCGCGCCCGGCUAAUUUUUUGUAUUUUUAGUAGAGACGGGGUUUCACCAUCUUGGCCAGGCUGGUCUUGAACUCCUGACCUCGUGAUCCACCCACCUCGGCCUCCCAAAGUGCUGGGAUUACAGGAGUGAGCCACCGCGCCCAGCUAAAUUUAUUUUUUAUACUGUUCCAUCCACCCCUCAAACCCAACCACACUCUAUGACCACACAACAGACGAAUAAUCCUUUCAGAAUGUAUAUCAUGUCACUUCCCCACUCAAAAGCUGCCAGGUGGCUUCUCAUCACAGUUUGAAUAAAACCCAAAGUACUUACCCCACGGCCUCCCAAGGCCUCAUAUAGCCACUGCGUUAAGACAGUGCCAAGCAGGCCUCAGGGACUUUGCAUGUGCUAUGCCCUCUGCAAGGCUUUUCCCGAAGAUCAGCACUGGGCUGGAUGUGUCACUUCAUUUAGGUGUCAGCUCAUGUUACUUCAUUAGGGAUAUCCUUCCUUGAUCACUUUUUUUUCCUUUUUUUUUUUUGGUGAGACUGAAUUUUGCUCUUGUUGAGCAGACUGGAGUGCAGUGGUGCAAUCUUGGCUCGCCGCACCCUCCGCCUCCCGGGUUCAAGCGAUUCUCCUGCCUCAGCCUCCUGAAUAGCUGGGAUUACAGGCGCCUGACGCCAUGCCCAGCUAAUUUUCAUAUUUUUAGUAGAGACGGUGUUUCACUGUGUUGGCCAGGCUGACCUUUUUUUCCCCCAUGUUUGGGGCUUGUCUUUGUCUCUCAAAUGCGAAAUAUAAAUCAUGUUUUUACAAGUUUUGUGAAUCUUGACUUUUCACACCUUGUUUUUGUAAGCAAAAGUUUCUUAUUAAAAU
This 2554-nucleotide long non-coding RNA is filed under the name Homo sapiens (human). RNAcentral's name for it is "HSALNT0196629". The record is from RNAcentral. Lineage: Eukaryota; Metazoa; Chordata; Mammalia; Primates; Hominidae.